ACACCCUAUUUUUAAACUAAUCAUAUUUUAACAUGAAUCGAACUGUUAUAUUUUAAAAUAAGUCAUUUAACCUUUUUCAAUUAAAUCCACAUUUAUCUAUAAAAAAGAGUGAGAUCACACAACCAUAUGUGUUUUAGAAACACAUCCUAAAUCCACUUUAUCAUCUUCAAUAUACAACUACCUCUGUAAGUAGGAAAAAUGAACCAAAUUUAAAAACGGCAACAAUAAAUUGUCUCGAAUAUAUCCAUACGAAACUUCUAUCUUUUUAUCACAACUAUGAAGCCAAACUACAAAAAAAACGAAGGACAAUGUCAAACUUAAAGCCAUACAAAAUCGAGUUGGAAAUUAACAAAAACUAAAACAAAAUUCAAAUUAAAACCAGUAGAACUCUGAUACAAAACUAAUUGAAAUAGUGUUAAAAAAAAUGAACCGCAAAAUACAUCAAAAAUCAAAUUGAACUCGAAUCUCACCGGAGUUUGUUAACUACUUGAUUCCGGUCAUGAUCUCGUUUGAAUCCACAGAGCGCCUCCGCCGCACUGAUCUGUCACCACCAUUAGGGAUCGCAUGUUAGAUCUGGAAUCCACCGCUCACCCUUGUUUCGUUAAUAAUCACCUUGCAACUUUUGUGUUUUGUCAAAAUUUGGGAGGAAUAUACAAGGUGUUAUUGUUACUGGGAUAUAAGAUCCAUAGAUUUCCUUUUACAAAAAAGAAGAGAUCGAAGGUUGGGUUGUGUGUUUGUGAAUGAGAGUGAAAUAUUUGUUGAAAAAGGAACAGAUGAGCGUUCAUAUCGAAUGAGGGAGAGAAGAAGCAGUUUUUUCUUCGUUCAUUGUCAUGAGAGAGAAAGUGAGAAAUUGUUUGGUAUCAUUAUUUUCCUUUUUA
Molecule: long non-coding RNA, 878 nt
Filed under: Lathyrus oleraceus (garden pea)
Lineage: Eukaryota; Viridiplantae; Streptophyta; Magnoliopsida; Fabales; Fabaceae
Description: Pisum sativum (pea) long non-coding RNA (PSAT_LNC042251)
Source: RNAcentral